This 416-nucleotide ribosomal RNA is filed under the name uncultured bacterium. RNAcentral's name for it is "bacterial SSU rRNA". It matches the Rfam family "Bacterial small subunit ribosomal RNA", at positions 945 to 1359 of the family's 1533-position model. The record is from RNAcentral.
UUUAAUUCGAAGCAACGCGCAGAACCUUACCAGCGUUUGACAUGGUGACUAUGGUUUCCAGAGAUGGAUUCCUUCAGUUCGGCUGGGUCACACACAGGUGCUGCAUGGCUGUCGUCAGCUCGUGUCGUGAGAUGUUGGGUUAAGUCCCGCAACGAGCGCAACCCUCAUCCCUAGUUGCCAUCAUUCAGUUGGGCACUCUAGAGAAACUGCCGGUGAUAAGCCGGAGGAAGGUGGGGAUGACGUCAAGUCCUCAUGGCCCUUACGCGCUGGGCUACACACGUGCUACAAUGGCGGUGACAGUGGGCAGCUAACCCGCGAGGGUAAGCUAAUCUCCAAAAGCCGCCUCAGUUCGGAUUGUUCUCUGCAACUCGAGAGCAUGAAGGCGGAAUCGCUAGUAAUCGCGGAUCAGCAUGCCG